CGUGAGUGAUGAAGGCCUUUGGGUUGUAAAGCUCUUUCCUCGGGGAAGAAAAUGACUGUUCCCGUAUAAGAAGGUCCGGCUAACUUCGUGCCAACAGCCGCGGUAA
RNAcentral lists this ribosomal RNA (106 nucleotides) under uncultured Alphaproteobacteria bacterium. Its description in RNAcentral is "partial 16S ribosomal RNA". It matches the Rfam family "Bacterial small subunit ribosomal RNA", at positions 400 to 523 of the family's 1533-position model. The record is from RNAcentral. Lineage: Bacteria; Pseudomonadati; Pseudomonadota; Alphaproteobacteria.